GAAAUGCGAUAAGUAAUGUGAAUUGCAGAAUUCCGUGAAUCAUCGAAUCUUUGAACGCACAUUGCGCUCCCUGGCAUUCCGGGGAGCAUGCCUGUCCGAGCGUCAUUUCUGCCCUCAAGCACGGCUUGUGUGUUGGGCGCUGGUCCCUCCGAAACGGGGGGACCUGCCCGAAAGGCAGCGGCGACGUUCCCGCCCAGGUCCUCGAGCGUAUGGGGCUUUGUCACUCGCUCGGGAUGGACCCGCGGAGCGUUGGUCACCUCACGAAUUUAUUCCACGGUUGACCUCGGAUCAGGUAGGAGUUACCCGCUGAACUUAA
This 316-nucleotide unclassified non-coding RNA is filed under the name uncultured Penicillium. RNAcentral's name for it is "sequence contains ITS1". The stretch from base 1 to 105 matches the Rfam family "5.8S ribosomal RNA", at positions 50 to 154 of the family's 154-position model. The record is from RNAcentral. Lineage: Eukaryota; Fungi; Ascomycota; Eurotiomycetes; Eurotiales; Aspergillaceae.